UACGUAGGGGGCAAGCGUUGUCCGGAUUUAUUGGGCGUAAAGAGCGUGUAGGCGGCCAGAUAGGUCUGUUGUGAAAACUCGAGGCUCAACCUCGAGACGCCGAUGGAAACCAUCUGGCUAGAGUCCGGAAGAGGAGAGUGGAAUUCCUGGUGUAGCGGUGAAAUGCGCAGAUAUCAGGAGGAACACCAGUGGCGAAGGCGGCACUCUGGGCUGGCACUGACGCUGAGGAGCGAAAGCGUGGGGAGCGAACAGG
Molecule: ribosomal RNA, 253 nt
Filed under: uncultured bacterium
Lineage: Bacteria
Description: partial 16S ribosomal RNA
Rfam family: Bacterial small subunit ribosomal RNA
Source: RNAcentral